This 497-nucleotide ribosomal RNA is filed under the name uncultured bacterium. RNAcentral describes it as "partial 16S ribosomal RNA". It matches the Rfam family "Bacterial small subunit ribosomal RNA", at positions 28 to 507 of the family's 1533-position model. The record is from RNAcentral.
GACGAACGCUGGCGGCGUGCCUAAUACAUGCGAGUAGAACGCUGAAGAGAGGAGCUUGCUCUUCUUGGAUGAGUUGCGAACGGGUGAGUAACGCGUAGGUAACCUGCCUUGUAGCGGGGGAUAACUAUUGGAAACGAUAGCUAAUACCGCAUAACAAUGGAUGACACAUGUCAUUUAUUUGAAAGGGGCAAUUGCUCCACUACAAGAUGGACCUGCGUUGUAUUAGCUAGUAGGUGAGGUAAUGGCUCACCUAGGCGACGAUACAUAGCCGACCUGAGAGGGCGAUCGGCCACACUGGGACUGAGACACGGCCCAGACUCCUACGGGAGGCAGCAGUAGGGAAUCUUCGGCAAUGGGGGCAACCCUGACCGGGCAACGCCGCGUGAGUGAAGAAGGUUUUCGGAUCGUAAAGCUCUGUUGUAAGUCAAGAACGGGUGUGAGAGUGGAAAGUUCACACUGUGACGGUAGCUUACCAGAAAGGGACGGCUAACUACGUG